GGGGAUCGACUUCACUCCCACCCCUGUGAUUAUACCUUUAAUUGUUGCUUCGGCGGGACUUCGCGCCCGCCGGGGACCCAAACCUUCUGAAUUUUUUAAUAAGUAUCUUCUGAGUGGUUAAAAAAAUGAAUCAAAACUUUCAACAACGGAUCUCUUGGUUCUGGCAUCGAUGAAGAACGCAGCGAAAUGCGAUAAGUAAUGUGAAUUGCAGAAUUCAGUGAAUCAUCGAAUCUUUGAACGCACAUUGCGCCCGUCAGUAUUCUGGCGGGCAUGCCUGUUCGAGCGUCAUUACGCCCCUCAAGUCCCCUGUGGACUUGGUGUUGGGGAUCGGCGAGGCUGGUUUUCCAGCACAGCCGUCCCUUAAAUUAAUUGGCGGUCUCGCCGUGGCCCUCCUCUGCGCAGUAGUAAAACACUCGCAACAGGAGCCCGGCGCGGUCCACUGCCGUAAAACCCCCCAACUUUUUAUAGUUGACCUCGAAUCAGGUAGGACUACCCGCUGAACUUAAGCAUAUCAAAAGCCGGAGGAA
RNAcentral lists this ribosomal RNA (527 nucleotides) under Metarhizium anisopliae. RNAcentral describes it as "eukaryotic LSU rRNA". The stretch from base 135 to 288 matches the Rfam family "5.8S ribosomal RNA". Lineage: Eukaryota; Fungi; Ascomycota; Sordariomycetes; Hypocreales; Clavicipitaceae. The record is from RNAcentral.